UGAUCCUGGCUCAGGACGAACGCUGGCGGCGUGCUUAACACAUGCAAGUCGAGCGGAAAGGCCCUUCGGGGUACUCGAGCGGCGAACGGGUGAGUAACACGUGAGUAACCUCCCCCAGGCUUUGGGAUAACCCUCGGAAACGGGGGCUAAUACCGGAUAUUCAUUCCUAGCGGCAUCGUUGGGUGUGGAAAGUUUUUCGGCUUGGGAUGGGCUCGCGGCCUAUCAGCUUGUUGGUGGGGUGAUGGCCUACCAAGGCGACGACGGGUAGCCGGCCUGAGAGGGCGACCGGCCACACUGGGACUGAGACACGGCCCAGACUCCUACGGGAGGCAGCAGUGGGGAAUAUUGCACAAUGGGCGGAAGCCUGAUGCAGCGACGCCGCGUGAGGGAUGAAGGCCUUCGGGUUGUAAACCUCUUUCGACAGGGACGAAGCGCAAGUGACGGUACCUGGAGAAGAAGCGCCGGCCAACUACGUGCCAGCAGCCGCGGUAAGACGUAGGGCGCGAGCGUUGUCCGGAUUUAUUGGGCGUAAAGAGCUCGUAGGCGGCUUGUUGCGUCAGCUGUGAAAACCCGCAGCUCA
This 580-nucleotide ribosomal RNA is filed under the name uncultured Dactylosporangium sp. Its description in RNAcentral is "bacterial SSU rRNA". It matches the Rfam family "Bacterial small subunit ribosomal RNA", at positions 14 to 611 of the family's 1533-position model. The record is from RNAcentral. Lineage: Bacteria; Bacillati; Actinomycetota; Actinomycetes; Micromonosporales; Micromonosporaceae.